RNAcentral lists this ribosomal RNA (1861 nucleotides) under Triticum aestivum (bread wheat). RNAcentral's name for it is "partial small subunit ribosomal RNA". The record is from RNAcentral. Lineage: Eukaryota; Viridiplantae; Streptophyta; Magnoliopsida; Poales; Poaceae.
GUUCUUACAUGUUGUCGUGUGGCAUUUUUUGUUUCUAUUUGUGGAAGAGGGUAGCGGCGGCUUGUGCUGCCGGUGGCGUGCGGUGUUUUACGUUUACGUAGGGCUUGUUAAGGCGUAGGACCUUUAUAGGGGUUUGGGAGCGGGCGGCGGCUGGCUGCUGGAGGUCUAGAGGCGAGUACCUACUGCUGCCACGGCGGAGGGGCAGCGGGAGCGGCAGUGGCAGCGCGAGGGGAAGGGGCGAAGGCCAGCGGCUGGGGCAGUGGCAGCGGCGGCACGGGGGGCCGGUGGAGCGGGAGCGGUAGGGAUAAGUAUUCGUACCAGGGAGGUCGUCGCCGCCGCCGCCCCCGCCCCCGUCCCUCCUGCGGACCUCGCUGCCGCGGUGGAGGUGCGACUAGCUGCGGACCCCACUCGCGAAACAGCGCGAGCCGGCGCCGUCGGAUGCGGUGGGCGUCACCGUCCUCCAACGGCUCCAGCAGAGGAGGGCGCUACCGAUGAGGUUCGGCGGGUUCAGGCUGCAGGUCACGUUCUUGGCAUAGCUGUGGGAGUUCUUCUUCAUGUUUCAGCUCUUCCGGUUCAGCCUGAGGAGUACCGGUAAGAAGCUGGCGGAACUGAAGGAGGAGCGGGGUCAGGUCUUCGAGGACCCGUUAAGACCGCCCCGUCGUCCUUUAAAACCGAGGAGGUUAGGGUCGUUGGCCUCGUGGCGUGGAUACCGGGGCGCACAGUUGAAGGGAGUCGCGUGGGCGUGCCGGAAAGGGAGCUAUCCAUACUUCGCCUCCGACGGUAGCGGCGGGGUCCGCAGUCGUAGCAGCCUCAGCAGGCUGCCCAAGGGUGGACUUGGUGACCGACUCCGGCACUUGCCGUUCUCCGUUGCGGAGCUCCUCAGCCGCUUACCUCGCCUGUCGUCGCUGGCACGUGUCCCGGACGCGCUGGACCGUGUCCGCUAAGCUGCCGAACCCCUCUGUAUGCUCGCGCACCACAGGAGUUUUCCCCUCGUACUCGAGGCCUACCUCGCCUCGGCGGACCUACGGCGUGCGCUCGACCUCCUGGUCGCACACGUCAAGAAGGAGUUCUACCUCUACCUCUAGAGUUUCCGGUUGUUACCACGAGGUGAGCGACAGGGUGAACGACGGCGACGGUACCAGCCAUUAAGUCGGAGAUGUCGUCUUCUACCACUGAGCGGUCGAUGACGACUACCGUUGCCAGGUUCCUCUCGGAGAUACCGUUGCCUACAGUCCCGGUCGUCGUUAGUGGUACAGGCCAUGGCACAGUUCCUGCUGUCCGUAGUGGUACGGAGUGCCGCGGGUAGAAUGGUCAUGUUGGUCUUGUUACAACCACGACGCCUACGGCCUCCGUAACCAUCACCGUCGCUAAGGCCAUUGUUCCUUCUGCUCCUUCUCUACCUUCCGCUUCUCCUUCUCUCGGUCAUUCCAGUGAGGCCCCUAUCGUCAAGUUCUUAAACAUAGACAAAAAAUCCAUUCUUAAACAUAGACAACUAACCGUAACGGGACCAAUUUUAACGAGGGUCAAUACGACCAGAUAGAGCCUCGUUUACCGAUGACUCGAACAUCACCAUAAUCGUUGGUCCUCAUCGUCUCAAUACCACUUGUGGACACCCACCCUACAAACAUCAUUGAACAUCGACGGACAAACACGAAAACUACACUAAGACACUAUAAUUCCAACAGGGAGGGUCCGGGUCGCUUACAUCGUACUAAUCAAUAUACCACCACAAUUCCAAACGAGGAAAACCUUAGUACUGGUCACACGGCUUGACACGAGUCACGAAUAGAAGACAAACAAACUCAUUGUAUGCAGGACAAAACUCAAGAGUUGUCAUCGGAUACCGGUUGAACACUUAACA